AGAUUGAACGCUGGCGGCAGGCCUAACACAUGCAAGUCGAGCGGUAGGGAGGUGCUUGCAUCUCUUGAGAGCGGCGGACGGGUGAGUAAUGCCUAGGAAUCUGCCUAGUGGUGGGGGAUAACGUUCGGAAACGGACGCUAAUACCGCAUACGUCCUACGGGAGAAAGCGGGGGACCUUCGGGCCUCGCGCCAUUAGAUGAGCCUAGGGUCGGAUUAGCUAGUUGGUGAGGUAAUGGCUCACCAAGGCGACGAUCCGUAACUGGUCUGAGAGGAUGAUCAGUCACACCGGAACUGAGACACGGUCCGACUCCUACGGGAGGCAGCAGUGGGGAAUAUUGGACAAGUGGGACGCAAGGCCUGGAUCCAGCAAUCGCGCGUGUGUGAAGAACGGCCUUCGGUUAGUAACGACAGUUAACGUAGGAAAG
RNAcentral lists this ribosomal RNA (425 nucleotides) under uncultured soil bacterium. RNAcentral's name for it is "bacterial SSU rRNA". It matches the Rfam family "Bacterial small subunit ribosomal RNA", at positions 26 to 447 of the family's 1533-position model. The record is from RNAcentral.